ACAAAGACAGCAAUUCGCGAGGACAACAAAUCUCAUAAACCGUGGCUCAGUUCAGAUCGUAGGCUGCAACUCGCCUACGUGAAGGAGGAAUCGCUAGUAAUCGCAGGUCAGCAUACUGCGGUGAAUACGUUCCCGGGCCUUGUACACACCGCCCGUCACACCAUGGAAGUUGGCCACGCCCGAAGCCGUUACUCCAACCCUUGUGGAGGAGGACGUCGAAGGUGGGGCUGAUGACUGGGGUGAAGUCGUAACAAGGUAGCCGUACCGGAAGGUGCGGCUGGAUCACCUCCUAA
This 293-nucleotide ribosomal RNA is filed under the name uncultured Synechococcus sp. RNAcentral describes it as "partial 16S ribosomal RNA". It matches the Rfam family "Bacterial small subunit ribosomal RNA", at positions 1241 to 1533 of the family's 1533-position model. The record is from RNAcentral. Lineage: Bacteria; Bacillati; Cyanobacteriota; Cyanophyceae; Synechococcales; Synechococcaceae.